GACGAACGCUGGCGGCGUGCUUAACACAUGCAAGUCGAACGGAAAGGCCCUGCUUUUGUGGGGUGCUCGAGUGGCGAACGGGUGAGUAACACGUGAGUAACCUGCCCUUGACUUUGGGAUAACUUCAGGAAACUGGGGCUAAUACCGGAUAGGAGCUCCUGCUGCAUGGUGGGGGUUGGAAAGUUUCGGCGGUUGGGGAUGUACUCGCGGCUUAUCAGCUUGUUGGUGGGGUAGUGGCUUACCAAGGCUUUGACGGGUAGCCGGCCUGAGAGGGUGACCGGCCACAUUGGGACUGAGAGAAGGCCCAGACUCCUACGGGAGGCAGCAGUGGGGAAUAUUGCACAAUGGGCGGAAGCCUGAUGCAGCAACGCCGCGGGCGGGAUGACGGCCUUCGGGUUGUAAACCGAUUUCGCCUGUGACGAAGCGUGAGUGACGGUAAUGGGUAAAGAAGCACCGGCUAACUACGUG
Molecule: ribosomal RNA, 468 nt
Filed under: uncultured bacterium
Lineage: Bacteria
Description: partial 16S ribosomal RNA
Rfam family: Bacterial small subunit ribosomal RNA
Source: RNAcentral